AAAUGACUCUCGGCAACGGAUAUCUCGGCUCUUGCAUCGAUGAAGAACGUAGCGAAAUGCGAUACUUGGUGUGAAUUGCAGAAUCCCGUGAACCAUCGAGUCUUUGAACGCAAGUUGCGCCCGAAACCAUUAGGUUGAGGGCACGCCUGCCUGGGUGUCACAU
This 163-nucleotide ribosomal RNA is filed under the name Vigna hosei. RNAcentral describes it as "5.8S ribosomal RNA". It matches the Rfam family "5.8S ribosomal RNA". From Rfam's summary of the family: 5.8S ribosomal RNA (5.8S rRNA) is a component of the large subunit of the eukaryotic ribosome. It is transcribed by RNA polymerase I as part of the 45S precursor that also contains 18S and 28S rRNA. The record is from RNAcentral. Lineage: Eukaryota; Viridiplantae; Streptophyta; Magnoliopsida; Fabales; Fabaceae.